This 493-nucleotide small RNA is filed under the name Arabidopsis thaliana (thale cress). RNAcentral describes it as "ATSL260560". The record is from RNAcentral. Lineage: Eukaryota; Viridiplantae; Streptophyta; Magnoliopsida; Brassicales; Brassicaceae.
AGAUAAUUAGAAAGAAAAUCUUCUAAUUAAAUAUUUGACAUUUAACAAUCUUCUUAAAAUCUUUCUACCUUAACUACACGAUUAAUUACUAAAAUAAAACUUUCAAAAUAUUUAAUAUCAUUUAAUUACUACAAAAUUAUCAUUUUUGAUGUUGCUUUUCUGCAUGAUUAUAAUCAUCAAAUCGCAGAGAUAUUUGAUAGCAUGUAAUUACUACAAAAUUACAAAAUAUUUAGACAAUAAUUCAUAAACAUAUCAUAAAUAAGGUCAACAUUAAUAAAAUAAAUGAGUUUUCUUUACAGGACAGGUUGGCGGGACGGGUUUGGCAGGACGUUACGUAAUAAUAAUUAUAAACUAUAAAAUAAAAAUAUUUUAUAAAUAGAUACAAUUUACAAUAUAUAUAUUAAUUUAAAAAAUAAAUUGUUCCCCCGAUAUACCGCGAGUUUAAAUAUAGUUUUAUAUACAUUUUGCUAGACUGCGAUCUUGUAAUCUUCUG